RNAcentral lists this ribosomal RNA (503 nucleotides) under uncultured bacterium. RNAcentral's name for it is "bacterial SSU rRNA". It matches the Rfam family "Bacterial small subunit ribosomal RNA", at positions 791 to 1304 of the family's 1533-position model. The record is from RNAcentral.
UAGUCCACGCCGUAAACGAUGGACACUAGUUGUUGGAAUUAUUCAGUGACUAAGCGAAAGUAAUAAGUGUCCCACCUGGGGAGUACGAUCGCAAGAUUGAAACUCAAAGGAAUUGACGGGGGCCCGCACAAGCGGUGGAGCAUGUGGUUUAAUUCGAUGAUACGCGAGGAACCUUACCAGGGCUUAAAUGUAGACUGACAGCUUUAGAGAUAGAGUUUUCUUCGGACAGUUUACAAGGUGCUGCAUGGUUGUCGUCAGCUCGUGCCGUGAGGUGUCAGGUUAAGUCCUAUAACGAGCGCAACCCCUAUCGUUAGUUGCUAGCAGGUAAAGCUGAGGACUCUAGCGAGACUGCCGGUGCAAACCGCGAGGAAGGUGGGGAUGACGUCAAAUCAUCACGGCCCUUACGUCCUGGGCUACACACGUGCUACAAUGGGCGAGACAAUGAGCUGCAAACUUGCGAAAGUUAGCUAAUCUAUAAACUCGUUCUUAGUUCGGAUUGUAGG